This 235-nucleotide ribosomal RNA is filed under the name uncultured bacterium. RNAcentral's name for it is "partial 16S ribosomal RNA". It matches the Rfam family "Bacterial small subunit ribosomal RNA", at positions 118 to 348 of the family's 1533-position model. The record is from RNAcentral.
UGGGUAAUCUGCCCUCGAUUCUGGGAUAGCCCGGGGAAACCCGGAUUAAUACCGGAUAGCCUCUCGAGCUUACGAGCUCGUGAGAAAAGGUAGCUUCGGCCUCCGAUCGAGGAUGAGCCCGCGGCGGAUUAGCUUGUUGGUGGGGUAAUGGCCUACCAAGGCGACGAUCAGUAGCUGGUCUGAGAGGAUGACCAGCCACACUGGGACUGAGACACGGCCCAGACUCCUAGGGAGG